This 253-nucleotide ribosomal RNA is filed under the name uncultured bacterium. RNAcentral describes it as "partial 16S ribosomal RNA". It matches the Rfam family "Bacterial small subunit ribosomal RNA", at positions 524 to 776 of the family's 1533-position model. The record is from RNAcentral.
UACGGAGGGGGCUAGCGUUAUUCGGAAUUACUGGGCGUAAAGCGCACGUAGGCGGCUUUGUAAGUUAGAGGUGAAAGCCUGGAGCUCAACUCCAGAAUUGCCUUUAAGACUGCAUCGCUUGAAUCCAGGAGAGGUGAGUGGAAUUCCGAGUGUAGAGGUGAGAUUCGUAGAUAUUCGGAAGAACACCAGUGGCGAAGGCGGCUCACUGGACUGGUAUUGACGCUGAGGUGCGAAAGCGUGGGGAGCAAACAGG